RNAcentral lists this ribosomal RNA (497 nucleotides) under uncultured bacterium. Its description in RNAcentral is "partial 16S ribosomal RNA". It matches the Rfam family "Bacterial small subunit ribosomal RNA", at positions 28 to 507 of the family's 1533-position model. The record is from RNAcentral.
GAUGAACGCUGGCGGCGUGCCUAAUACAUGCAAGUCGAGCGAACAGACGAGGAGCUUGCUCCUCUGACGUUAGCGGCGGACGGGUGAGUAACACGUGGAUAACCUACCUAUAAGACUGGGAUAACUUCGGGAAACCGGAGCUAAUACCGGAUAAUAUAUUGAACCGCAUGGUUCAAUAGUGAAAGACGGUUUUGCUGUCACUUAUAGAUGGAUCCGCGCCGCAUUAGCUAGUUGGUAAGGUAACGGCUUACCAAGGCAACGAUGCGUAGCCGACCUGAGAGGGUGAUCGGCCACACUGGAACUGAGACACGGCCCAGACUCCUACGGGAGGCAGCAGUAGGGAAUCUUCCGCAAUGGGCGAAAGCCUGACGGAGCAACGCCGCGUGAGUGAUAAAGGUCUUCGGAUCGUAAACCUCUGUUAUGAGGGAAGAACAAAUGUGUAAGUAACUAUGCACGUCUUGACGGUACCUAAUCAGAAAGCCACGGCUAACUACGUG